AGCGAACGCUGGCGGCAGGCCUAACACAUGCAAGUCGAACGAACUCUUCGGAGUUAGUGGCGGACGGGUGAGUAACACGUGGGAACGUGCCUUUUGGUUCGGAAUAACUUAGGGAAACUUGUGCUAAUACCGAAUGUGCCCUUCGGGGGAAAGAUUUAUCGCCAUUAGAGCGGCCCGCGUCUGAUUAGCUAGUUGGUGAGGUAACGGCUCACCAAGGCGACGAUCAGUAGCUGGUCUGAGAGGAUGACCAGCCACACUGGGACUGAGACACGGCCCAGACUCCUACGGGAGGCAGCAGUGGGGAAUCUUGCGCAAUGGGCGAAAGCCUGACGCAGCCAUGCCGCGUGAAUGAUGAAGGUCUUAGGAUUGUAAAAUUCUUUCACCGGGGACGAUAAUGACGGUACCCGGAGAAGAAGCCCCGGCUAACUUCGUG
RNAcentral lists this ribosomal RNA (433 nucleotides) under uncultured bacterium. Its description in RNAcentral is "partial 16S ribosomal RNA". It matches the Rfam family "Bacterial small subunit ribosomal RNA", at positions 29 to 507 of the family's 1533-position model. The record is from RNAcentral.